This 638-nucleotide long non-coding RNA is filed under the name Homo sapiens (human). RNAcentral's name for it is "HSALNT0121803". The record is from RNAcentral. Lineage: Eukaryota; Metazoa; Chordata; Mammalia; Primates; Hominidae.
GUGAUUUUAAUAUCCAUCAAUUACUAAAGACAUGUAUGACAAAAAGAGUGAAUCAUACAAUGUUGCUAGUGGAGCACUUUUGACUGUGAUGCAUGGUUUUAUUUUCUAUAAUGACAAAAGGAAAUGAAAAUAUUUGGCAAAUAAGGAGAAUUGAAGGGGGAACAUUCAUCUCACAAUAUUUAUAUUCUCUGUGCUAUUUUCAGACUUCAUGUCUUUGUCAUUGGUUCUAGUUUGCUCCAUUAUUAAUACCACCAUCUGUAAGAUUCUAGCUCUCUUGGCAUUUCUUCUGUUCAAGAGUCUUGUGAUCUCAGUCUAUGAAAUAAAAACAAUGGCCAUGGAAUCCUCACAUGGGUUGCUGGUUUCUCAGCAGGGUGCUGGACUCUAAGUGCCAGUCAUCCAGUCAGUAACACUGCUAGACCCUGAUUGCUGAGUUGGCUCUUGAAUGGUCUCUUCAAUGGAGAAGGUAAAUGGUCUUCCUCUAGUUACUUCAUUUGCAGUUAGCUCUAUAACCAAGGGCAAUCCUCCAUUAAGUGUUGGCUAGUUCCUUGACUAGGUGGAAUAGUUAUUUCUUCUGUAAGUAUUGGACUUGGACUUGUGUUUCUCAGGUGGCAAAGUUGGAGAUAGCUCUGGAAAACAAG